GGCUGCAUGAGGACCAAACUGUCUCCUUUGACCAAUCAAUGAACCUGAUCUCUCAGUACAAAAGCUGAAAUAGAACCAUAAGACAAGAAGACCCCGUGGAGCUUUAAAUACCAAUACUAACCGCCAUCCCCCCAUUAGGCCCACACCGCCAAAAUAGUAUAUAUUUUUAGUUGGGGCGACUACGGAACCAAACAAAACUUCCACGACACAGGACCACCCACCCCCCCCCCGGUCAACAAACCUAUCCCCCGUUUGACCCAGCAAUACUGACCAACGAACCAAGUUACCCCGGGGAUAACAGCGCCAUCCUCUUCAAGAGCCCCUAUCGCCAAGAGGGUUUACGACCUCGAUGUUGGAUCAGGACACCCCGGUGGUGCAACCGCUACCAACGGUUCGUUUGUUCAA
This 405-nucleotide ribosomal RNA is filed under the name Sphaerodactylus klauberi. Its description in RNAcentral is "partial 16S ribosomal RNA". It matches the Rfam family "Bacterial large subunit ribosomal RNA", at positions 1998 to 2584 of the family's 2925-position model. Lineage: Eukaryota; Metazoa; Chordata; Lepidosauria; Squamata; Sphaerodactylidae. The record is from RNAcentral.